Molecule: long non-coding RNA, 100 nt
Organism: Pipra filicauda (Wire-tailed manakin)
Lineage: Eukaryota; Metazoa; Chordata; Aves; Passeriformes; Pipridae
Exons: 3
Source: RefSeq, a predicted model, not a curated record
GAAAAAGGGGGAAAGCUGUAAACAGAACUGCAGAGAUUGUCCUGGGACUCCUCUUGACCCUGUCACUUAAGAGGGCUGCCCAUUUGCACAAAACUUCUGG